This 66-nucleotide transfer RNA is filed under the name Unkanodes sapporona. RNAcentral's name for it is "tRNA-Phe". The record is from RNAcentral. Lineage: Eukaryota; Metazoa; Arthropoda; Insecta; Hemiptera; Delphacidae.
AUUCAGGUAGCUUAAUUUUUAAAGUUGAUCAUUGAAAAUGAUUAGAUACAGUUUAUGUUUUGGAUA